CUGUGCCUCACAAAGAGAGUCGGGUUUGGUAGCAAGGAAGGGAAUCCUUUGGAGGAACAGCAUUUCUACCGAAGAGGGAACCAGGAGGCCUACAUAACUCUUCGGGCAAACGAGGUCUCAAGAAUGCUCCCAAGAGAGUUCACGGAUGUCAAACUUUACGUCAUUACGAGGGGCAGCUGUCAGGCGCAAAGGAUCAGAGAUUUCAUUGAAAGAAAAAGGAGAAGGCCAACAGAAGACCAAGAAACAUCAGAGAAGAGACGACGAGGAAAGAAUUAAACCCGUUAUCCAUAGAGAACAUGCGUCUAUAAGUGGAUCAACCACAUGACAUAGAAAUUCUCUUGUUUAUGCAUUCUCGUCAGCAGUCUUUCAUAUUUGAUUAUUCACAGUUUAGUUGUAAUAUCAGUUCAAUUUCCUUUUAUACCAAAUCACUGCUACGUCCUUGAUUUCAACAUUGCGAUCUGCUGAGGAGAGUUCGCUCUUUUGUUUCUUCUUUUUUCAUUAUUUUUUCAUCGCAGUCCGCCAUGAUCAGAUUAAAGGAAAUAGUCUUUGUGUUGUUAAUAGUUCCAUAGUUGAGCAGAUUCUCAUGAUUCCCACCACUGCUGUCUGAAACAUAAUGUUUCUUUUAUUAAGUGUAUUUUUUUUUUUUUUUUUUUUUUUUUUUUUUAGCCACAGUAAAAUACCUGAGUAGUCAUAGAGCCACAAAUACGUAUAGGAUAAUUGAACAUCUGUAGUGGUUCUGAGCCCCGCAGUAGUCCCCAUUAGGUACAGCGCCAUCUAUGCGCCGCCAUUUUAAUUACCUAUCUUCUUUCAAGUUUUAUUUUUGUGUUUUAUCUCCCCUUCUUGUUAAUUAUAUAAACACUAUUUUAUCGUGUAACCUGGGCUAUCUGCUCUUUUAGAUUUUGUCGUUGCAUUUUUAUCUUGACUUUUGUGAAUUUUACGGUUUCAUAUUUACCAUUCUAUCUGUAUUUCAUAUUUUUUCUCUAAUAUCAGUUUUACUUCGUUUUCAAUAUCUAAUUAAUCUGUUUGGGACAAGACACAAACAAGGCUAUAUGAGCUGCUGUCCUACCGCCGAACUAGCUCUCUCAGCUCUUGGCUCUUCCGUCUUUGUGGUUGUCUUGGGGAAGGUGUUCGAUACUACAUUGGAGACAAUAUUGACCUCGUUUGCAAGAGGCUGUAGGUUAGCUGCACGCGUUGUUGAUUCUCUUUAAUAUACUGACUGAGGGAU
RNAcentral lists this long non-coding RNA (1225 nucleotides) under Penaeus japonicus. Its description in RNAcentral is "uncharacterized LOC122260862". The record is from RNAcentral. Lineage: Eukaryota; Metazoa; Arthropoda; Malacostraca; Decapoda; Penaeidae.